AUGAUUUCUUUGGCUACACAUAUACUAAAAUUGGAUUCAGAGAAGAUUACCGUGACUCCUGUACAAGGAUGACCCACAAAUUUGUGAAGCAUUCCACAUUUUU
RNAcentral lists this small nuclear RNA (103 nucleotides) under Jaculus jaculus (lesser Egyptian jerboa). The record is from RNAcentral. Lineage: Eukaryota; Metazoa; Chordata; Mammalia; Rodentia; Dipodidae.